This 682-nucleotide long non-coding RNA is filed under the name Sander lucioperca (pikeperch). RNAcentral describes it as "lncRNA (ENSSLUG00000009274.1)". The record is from RNAcentral. Lineage: Eukaryota; Metazoa; Chordata; Actinopteri; Perciformes; Percidae.
GCAAAGCCCAAGAAGAAGAAUGAGACGCAAGAUUCAUCCCUGAAACAUCAAGCAUCAGCUUCAGCAUCAAUUAAUAUGGAUCGUGUUGGAGCCGUGGAGACUGAAAAGACAGAUGAGCAAGAUUCGUCCCUGAAACCAGUUGAAUCCAUAAAAACCUUCAAGGUUCUAAGUGCUGCUGUCCAGACUGGGAGGAUUAAAAUAAUGGAAAUUAAAAAGUCCAAUAAGACGAUCACUCACCUUGAGAUAGAGUUCAACGGCCGGAGGCAGACGGUGUUUGUGACAACUCAACUUCUGGCAAACGCAUUUGGCCUCAAAGUGGAGGAUGAUUUUGAAAGGAGACUCCGCUAUCAAAUGCCGCUCACAGCAGAAGCAACAUUACUAGGAAAAAAAAUCAUAUACAUUAGGGUUAACCCUAACCUGGGUAGGAAAUCAAUUAUUUGAUUCUUUAACAUUAAAUCACAGUGAAUGAAAUAAGGAUUUUUGAAUUAAAACCUUUGACAAAGAUAAAAACCAAUAUGACAAACAAAUACAUAAUUGAUUGCUUUCAGAGACGACAAGCCUUCGCUAUCAAGUGCCGCUCACAGCAGAAGCAACAUUACAAGGAAGAAAAGUUACAGACAUUAAAAAGGUGAAAAAGGCUUAUUUGUAGUAGGGGAAUGCUGUUUACUUUUAAGUACUGUCG